AGUGAACGCUGGCGGUAGGCCUAACACAUGCAAGUCGAACGGCAGCACAGUAAGAGCUUGCUCUUACGGGUGGCGAGUGGCGGACGGGUGAGGAAUACAUCGGAAUCUACUUUUUCGUGGGGGAUAACGUAGGGAAACUUACGCUAAUACCGCAUACGACCUACGGGUGAAAGCAGGGGAUCUUCGGACCUUGCGCGAUUGAAUGAGCCGAUGUCGGAUUAGCUAGUUGGCGGGGUAAAGGCCCACUAAGGCGACGAUCCGUAGCUGGUCUGAGAGGAUGAUCAGCCACACUGGAACUGAGACACGGUCCAGACUCCUACGGGAGGCAGCAGUGGGGAAUAUUGGACAAUGGGCGCAAGCCUGAUCCUGCCAUACCGCGUGGGUGAAGAAGGACUUCGGGUUGUAAAGCCCUUUUGUUGGGAAAGAAAAGCAGCAGGUUAAUACCCCGAUGUUCUGACGGUACCCAAAGAAUAAGCACCGGCUAACUUCGUG
This 492-nucleotide ribosomal RNA is filed under the name uncultured bacterium. RNAcentral describes it as "partial 16S ribosomal RNA". It matches the Rfam family "Bacterial small subunit ribosomal RNA", at positions 29 to 507 of the family's 1533-position model. The record is from RNAcentral.